RNAcentral lists this ribosomal RNA (373 nucleotides) under uncultured organism. RNAcentral's name for it is "partial 16S ribosomal RNA". It matches the Rfam family "Bacterial small subunit ribosomal RNA", at positions 527 to 897 of the family's 1533-position model. The record is from RNAcentral.
GGAGGGUGCGAGCGUUAAUCGGGAAUUACUGGGGCGUAAAGCGUGCGUAGGUGGUUAUAUAAGUCAGAUGUGAAAUCCCAGUGCUUAACUUUGGAAUUGCAUUUGAGACUGUAUGGCUAGGGUGCAGGAGAGGGAAGUGGAAUUUCCGGUGUAGCGGUGAAAUGCGUAGAUAUCGGAAGGAACACCAGUGGCGAAGGCGGCUUCCUGGACUGUAACUGACACUGAGGCACGAAAGCGUGGGUAGCGAACAGGAUUAGAUACCCUGGUAGUCCACGCUGUAAACGAUGAGUACUAGAUGUUAGGUGGCUUGACCAUCUGGUAUCGAAGCAAACGCGUUAAGUACUCCGCCUGGGGAGUACGGCCGCAAGGUUAA